UACGGAGGGUGCAAACGUUGCUCGGAAUUAUUGGGCGUAAAGCGUACGUAGGCGGUCCAGCAAGUCGGGUGUGAAAGCCCUCGGCUUAACCGAGGAAGUGCAUUCGAAACUACAGGACUUGAAUACUGGAGAGGAUUGCGGAAUUCCCGGUGUAGAGGUGAAAUUCGUAGAUAUCGGGAGGAACACCAAUGGCGAAGGCAGCUCGCUGGGACGGUACUGACGCUGAGGCGCGAAAGCGUGGGGAGCAAACAGG
This 253-nucleotide ribosomal RNA is filed under the name uncultured bacterium. RNAcentral's name for it is "partial 16S ribosomal RNA". It matches the Rfam family "Bacterial small subunit ribosomal RNA", at positions 524 to 776 of the family's 1533-position model. The record is from RNAcentral.